Molecule: long non-coding RNA, 442 nt
Organism: Pyrgilauda ruficollis (rufous-necked snowfinch)
Lineage: Eukaryota; Metazoa; Chordata; Aves; Passeriformes; Passeridae
Exons: 2
Source: RefSeq, a predicted model, not a curated record
ACGGAAACCCCUGAGAAGAGAGGUGCUGCUGGAGAUGGAGUAUGUGGGGGAAGAGAAGAUUAACCAAGGUGUAAAUGAUCGAUCUGGAAGAGUGAAUGUGUAAAUGACACCGCGUGUGUGGUGAUGGGUCCCUGACACCAAGGCCAUUGCUGCCAUCUGCUGAGGGAGCGAGAACGGCACAGAACCAAGUGUCGAAAAAUCCUUCUCUGUUGGCCGUUCAGAGGGAAAAUCCUGCAGAAGCGAUGCCAGCAAGCCCUGCUCCACCUGACCCGGUGAAAAACUGACAUCCACCACGUUAACUUCAACCCCCCUGGAAGAAAACUGAAAGAAAAGCAACGGAGCCCAACUGUUUGUCACAGUUAUGGUCAGAUUUAGCGUAUUCUGCUGCAAACACUUCCCAGGGGGACCUCAGAGGUCUUUUCCAACCUAAUUGAUUUUGUGA